Molecule: ribosomal RNA, 497 nt
Filed under: uncultured bacterium
Lineage: Bacteria
Description: partial 16S ribosomal RNA
Rfam family: Bacterial small subunit ribosomal RNA
Source: RNAcentral
GAUGAACGCUGGCGGCGUGCCUAAUACAUGCAAGUCGAGCGAACGCACGAGAACCUUGCUUCCCUGAUGUUAGCGGCGGACGGGUGAUUAACACGUGGAUAACCUACCUAUAAGACUGGGAUAACUUCAGGAAACCGGAGCUAAUACCGGAUGAUAUUUUGAACCUCAUGGUUCCAAAGUGAAAGACGGUCUUGCUGUCACUAAAAGAUGGCUCCGCGCUUCAUUCGUUAGUUGGUAAGGUAAAGGCUUACCAAGGCAACGAGGCAUAGCCGACCUGAGGGGGUGAUGCGACACACUGGGACUGAGAAACGGUCCAGACUCCUACGCGAGGCAGCAGUAGGGACUCUUCCGCGAUGGGGGAAAGGCUGACGGAGCAACACGGCGUGAGUGAUGAUGCACUACGGAUGGUAAAGCGAUGUUAUUCGGGAGGAAGAAAUGUGUAAGUAACUGUGAACAUCUUGACGGUACCUAAUCAAAAAGCCACGGCUAACUACGUG